RNAcentral lists this transfer RNA (66 nucleotides) under Curculionoidea sp. 27 KM-2017. Its description in RNAcentral is "tRNA-Val". The record is from RNAcentral. Lineage: Eukaryota; Metazoa; Arthropoda; Insecta; Coleoptera.
CAGAUUAAAGCUUUUAGAGCAUUUUAUUUACAUUAAAAAGAUUUAUUGUAGUACAAUAUGAUUUGA